This 119-nucleotide small RNA is filed under the name Salmonella enterica. Its description in RNAcentral is "RtT sRNA". It matches the Rfam family "RtT RNA". Rfam says of the family: This family represents a bacterial cis-regulatory element known as RtT RNA. The exact function of RtT is unknown although it is thought that it may be involved in changing the cellular response in relation to amino acid starvation. RNAcentral also lists the same sequence under 1 other name. Lineage: Bacteria; Pseudomonadati; Pseudomonadota; Gammaproteobacteria; Enterobacterales; Enterobacteriaceae. The record is from RNAcentral.
UGCAUCUGAAGCCUGAAGAGGAUGAGAACCUCCGGGGGCAAGAGGUUCGACUCGAGCGACGCGAGAGAACGUUGCGUCAGCAACGGCCCGCAGGGCGAGUCAUCCUCUAUCACCGACCA